This 742-nucleotide ribosomal RNA is filed under the name uncultured Acidobacteriota bacterium. RNAcentral's name for it is "bacterial SSU rRNA". It matches the Rfam family "Bacterial small subunit ribosomal RNA", at positions 61 to 799 of the family's 1533-position model. The record is from RNAcentral. Lineage: Bacteria; Pseudomonadati; Acidobacteriota.
GUCGAACGCGCAGCAUUCUGUAGCAAUACAGGGUGUGGGCGCGUGGCGAACGGGUGCGUAACACGUGGAUAACCUUCCUUCAGGUGGGGAAUAACCCAGUGAAAAUUGGGCUAAUACCGCAUAACAUGACGAUGCCACAUGGUGUUGUCUUCAAAGCCGCAAGGCGCCAGAAGAGGGAUCCGCGGCCGAUUAGCUUGUUGGCGAGGUAAUGGCUCACCAAGGCAUUGAUCGGUAGCCGGACUGAGAGGUUGGCCGGCCACACUGGAACUGAGACACGGUCCAGACUCCUACGGGAGGCAGCAGUGGGGAAUCUUGCACAAUGGACGAAAGUCUGAUGCAGCAACGCCGCGUGGGGGAUGAAGCUUUUCGGAGUGUAAACCCCUUUCGACCCGGAAGAAUGCCCGCAAGGGUUUGACGGUACGGGUAUAAGAAGCCCCGGCUAACUACGUGCCAGCAGCCGCGGUAAUACGUAGGGGGCCAGCGUUGCUCGGAAUUACUGGGCGUAAAGGGUCCGUAGGCGGUGUGGCAAGUCGGGAGUGAAAUCUCUGGGCUUAACCCAGAGGCUGCUUCCGAAACUGCCAUGCUAGAGUGUGAGAGAGGCGAGUGGAAUUACGGGUGUAGCGGUGAAAUGCGUAGAUAUCCGUAGGAACAUCCGAGGCGAAGGCGGCUCGCUGGAUCACAACUGACGCUGAGGGACGAAAGCUAGGGGAGCAAACAGGAUUAGAUACCCUGGUAGUCCUAG